RNAcentral lists this ribosomal RNA (494 nucleotides) under uncultured bacterium. Its description in RNAcentral is "partial 16S ribosomal RNA". It matches the Rfam family "Bacterial small subunit ribosomal RNA", at positions 28 to 507 of the family's 1533-position model. The record is from RNAcentral.
GACGAACGCUGGCGGCGUGCCUAAUACAUGCAAGUAGAACGCUGAAGGAGGAGCUUGCUUCUCUGGAUGAGUUGCGAACGGGUGAGUAACGCGUAGGUAACCUGCCUGGUAGCGGGGGAUAACUAUUGGAAACGAUAGCUAAUACCGCAUAAUAGCAGUUGUUGCAUGACAACUGUUUGAAAGGUGCAAUUGCACCACUACCAGAUGGACCUGCGUUGUAUUAGCUAGUUGGUGGGGUAACGGCUCACCAAGGCGACGAUACAUAGCCACCUGAGAGGGUGAUCGGCCACACUGGGACUGAGACACGGCCCAGACUCCUACGGGAGGCAGCAGUAGGGAAUCUUCGGCAAUGGACGGAAGUCUGACCGAGCAACGCCGCGUGAGUGAAGAAGGUUUUCGGAUCGUAAAGCUCUGUUGUAAGAGAAGAACGAGUGUGAGAGUGGAAAGUUCACACUGUGACGGUAUCUUACCAGAAAGGGACGGCUAACUACGUG